UACGGGAGGCAGCAGUGGGGAAUAUUGCACAAUGGGCGCAAGCCUGAUGCAGCCAUGCCGCGUGUAUGAAGAAGGCCUUCGGGUUGUAAAGUACUUUCAGUCGUGAGGAAGGUGUUAAGGUUAAUAACCUUAGCAAUUGACGUUAGCGACAGAAGAAGCACCGGCUAACUCCGUGCCAGCAGCCGCGGUAAUACGGAGGGUGCGAGCGUUAAUCGGAAUUACUGGGCGUAAAGGGCACGCAGGCGGUUAAUUAAGUUGGAUGUGAAAUCCCCGGGCUUAACCUGGGAAUGGCAUUCAAGACUGGUUAGCUAGAGUCUUGUAGAGGGGGUAGAAUUCCGAUGUGUAGCGGUGAAAUGCGUAGAGAUGUGGAGGAAUACCGGUGGCGAAGGCGGCCCCUGGGACAAAGACUGACGCUCAUGUGCGAAAGCGUGGGGAGCGAAAC
Molecule: ribosomal RNA, 442 nt
Filed under: uncultured bacterium
Lineage: Bacteria
Description: bacterial SSU rRNA
Rfam family: Bacterial small subunit ribosomal RNA
Source: RNAcentral